Molecule: unclassified non-coding RNA, 2390 nt
Filed under: Leishmania donovani
Lineage: Eukaryota; Euglenozoa; Kinetoplastea; Trypanosomatida; Trypanosomatidae
Description: gene:LdHU3.29.3240(CDS-product:Leucine_Rich_Repea t/Leucine_rich_repeat_putative)
Source: RNAcentral
CGGUGCAAGGUGUGGCCUUCACGCUUAUUGCCCAUCGCUUUCACAUUGACGUGUGCCUCUGCUGCUGCUGUAGUGUCCGCAUCUCUCAUCUUUUUUUUUGCGUUGCUUGUAAGGCACUUAUAUCCGCCUUUGAAGUGCGCCUACGUUUUGCAUGUGUGUGUGUAUGCAUUGUGUGUUUUGGUGCUCUUCGCUAAUAAUAAGUCUCAUCCCCUUCAUGCGCGACGUGCGUCUGAACACGCGUUCACGCACGUGCGUUUUGGCGUGCUCAGACUUCUGUCUCCGUUUUUCGCUGUUCGCUUUACAGUAUAUUGCACAUAUAUAUAUGUGCUAUUUAUAAUAAUAAUAUAUAUACACCUAUAUGUAUUUAUUUAUAUAUAUAUAUUUUUUUUGGUUUUGCUGAUCGUUUUAUCGUCGGAGCGAAACGCUGUGCAUCAACGAGCAGCGUCUGACAUCUACCGCGAUAGGACACAGGUGAGAGAAGCGAGAAAGAAUAUUCCCACAAGAGCCUCACCGGGUUCUACGAAGUUGUGCUUUCAAGUAGGAUGAACACGGCGACUGUGAUGAUGGCGCGCGGCCCGGUCACCCCACACCGCCGCCUUAGUAGAUGCACCAGCGCGCUCUGUUGUGCCAUCGCGAUCGCACUGUUUUGUGCUCUUUGUUGCGAAGUCAGCGCGCUGGAGGUGGGCAAGUUUUUUCCCGCCAAGACGCGCAUGAGCGCGAAGGAUCGUUACGAAUCUGUUCUGGCGCUGCAGUCUCUGCAGCGCGCGAUCGACGACCCUGAGCUGCAAAAGGAGGUAGAGUCCGCGCUCAAGGACACAACGAGGGGCUUCGACAUGUGCCGAUCGGCGCUGUACCGCUGCAACCGCGUGACCGGCGCUCUCGAGGAGGCGGUCAUCGAGGGCAUGCGAGACGGAACUGUGAAGUGGGACGAGUAUCCCAAGUCGGUGAAGCGGAUCCGCAUCACGGACUCGAGGCUGAGGCAGCCACUCGUGCUCUCCAGCUUACCUGCGAACCUUGAGGAAUUCGUGGCAACGAACGUGGAGUGGGAGUCCGACUCGAUUCUUCAGGCCCCAGGGAGUGGCGAGGGGGGAGUUGUGAAGGGGCCCUUGGCUCAUCUUCGCGUUUUGCAAUGUGACAACUGCGCUCUCGUGAAGGCAGAGGUGACGACGACGACACCCCAGCUGGAGUGGCUGCAGGUGUUGAGCCUUUCCGGCAAUCCAGACUUGUUCAUCGAUCUCCGCGAGCUGCCGCGCAACCUCCAAUCUCUGCAGCUCUCGUACACACAGCUGGCUCACUCCACGGUCAGGGAGGUAUUGGAGACUGCGCCGGCGUUUCUCUCGCUGCUGAAUAUCAGCUUCACCGGUGUUGCUCUGACCCUCGACAUGCUGCCGUCUGCACGGAAUCAGCUGAAGGCGUUGGAUGUGUCCGGCCUGGAAAGCAACAACCCGGGGUCACCUCUGUCUCUCUCUCAGCUGCAAAGCGCGUGUGGCGAAAGUGGCUUCAGCCUCGCAGAACUGUACCUCACCAGGUGCAGCCUGACGGGCACCCUCCCUCACCUUCGUAACUGCACGAAGCUGAAGGUGAUGGAUGUGUCGCACAACCUCCUCGAUGGCGCCGUGUUCGCUCAACUCCCCGAGAACAUAGAGUUGCUGCGUCUCAACAACAAUGCGAUACAGGGUGGCCUGCGCACCAGCGAACUCCCGCGCACUCUGCGCUCCCUUGAUCUUUCUGAAAACCAUUUCACGGGUGAGGUCGACCUCUCGGCACUGCCGCCGCAGCUGCAGUACCUCAACAUUGGCCACAAUCACUUCAGCGGCCAGGUGAACCUCACGCAGCUACCCGAGUCUGUCAAGUUUGUGCACAUGGAGUAUAACAACUUCACCGGCGCGGCUGACCUCGUCGACCUCCCACUCGGCAUCCGUUUUAUCAUGGUCCACCACAACAACUGGGACUACCUCAUGCCCGCCCCGUGAGAUGGGCCAGCACCAUUUAAGGCGAAAAAGCCGGCGGAAGGGUGCGGCGUUCUUAUUGUGGUGCUCGUGGUGGCAGCCUCAGCUCUCCGUCUUGCUCACCCUCUGCAUCUGAGCCGUUCACCUCCGUCUUCGUCUCUCUCUUUCUCCCCAUGCCAGUGCGCACGUACGUAUCUGCUUUUGGUGGUGAUUAAGCGCGGGGGUGGCGUAGCCAGGCGGUGGCGGCAGGGUUGGGGGGCAUCAAGUCAACAUUGUGCCUGGUUUAUGAGCAGCGAGCACCUUUGGGCUGUAGCACGUGUUGAGGAGAGUAAUAUCCAGCGCAUUCUUGUGUGACUAUCAUUUCGUGCGCCAUGUUACCUUCUCCUGCUCGCCCUUUUUUUUCCUAACACCAUUCGGUUACUUUUUUUCUGCUGCUUUUAG